Molecule: transfer RNA, 74 nt
Filed under: Arsenicibacter rosenii
Lineage: Bacteria; Pseudomonadati; Bacteroidota; Cytophagia; Cytophagales; Spirosomataceae
Rfam family: tRNA
About the family: Transfer RNA (tRNA) molecules are approximately 80 nucleotides in length. Their secondary structure includes four short double-helical elements and three loops (D, anti-codon, and T loops).
Source: Rfam by way of RNAcentral
AGCCCUGUAGCCCAACCGGAAGAGGCACCAGAUUUAGGAUCUGGAUAGUGUCAGUUCGAAUCUGACCAGGGUUA